GCAUCUUCCUUGCGCCGGUGA
RNAcentral lists this unclassified non-coding RNA (21 nucleotides) under Mus musculus (house mouse). Its description in RNAcentral is "oocyte_clustered_small_RNA3568". Lineage: Eukaryota; Metazoa; Chordata; Mammalia; Rodentia; Muridae. The record is from RNAcentral.